UACGAAGGGGGCUAGCGUUGUUCGGCAUUACUGGGCGUAAAGCGUGCGCAGGCGGCUUCUCAAGUCAGGGGUGAAAGCCCAGAGCUCAACUCUGGAAUUGCCUUUGAGACUGAGAGGCUUGAGUACGGGAGAGGUGAGUGGAAUUCCCAGUGUAGAGGUGAAAUUCGUAGAUAUUGGGAAGAACACCAGUGGCGAAGGCGGCUCACUGGACCGUAACUGACGCUCAUGCACGACAGCUAGGGGAGCAAACAGG
This 253-nucleotide ribosomal RNA is filed under the name uncultured bacterium. RNAcentral describes it as "partial 16S ribosomal RNA". It matches the Rfam family "Bacterial small subunit ribosomal RNA", at positions 524 to 776 of the family's 1533-position model. The record is from RNAcentral.